Molecule: ribosomal RNA, 275 nt
Filed under: uncultured Flavobacterium sp.
Lineage: Bacteria; Pseudomonadati; Bacteroidota; Flavobacteriia; Flavobacteriales; Flavobacteriaceae
Description: partial 16S ribosomal RNA
Rfam family: Bacterial small subunit ribosomal RNA
Source: RNAcentral
CCUACGGGUGGCUGCAGUGAGGAAUAUUGGACAAUGGGCGCAAGCCUGAUCCAGCCAUGCCGCGUGCAGGAUGACGGUCCUAUGGAUUGUAAACUGCUUUUACACAGGAAGAAACAACGCUACGUGUAGCGUCUUGACGGUACUGUGAGAAUAAGGAUCGGCUAACUCCGUGCCAGCAGCCGCGGUAAUACGGAGGAUCCAAGCGUUAUCCGGAAUCAUUGGGUUUAAAGGGUCCGUAGGCGGUUUAGUAAGUCAGUGGUGAAAGCCCAUCGCUC